UUGAUGUGGGGGAUAACCAUUGGAAACGAUGGCUAAUACCGCAUAAUGCCUACGGGCCAAAGAGGGGGACCUUCGGGCCUCUCGCGUCAAGAUAUGCCUAGGUGGGAUUAGCUAGUUGGUGAGGUAAUGGCUCACCAAGGCGACGAUCCCUAGCUGGUCUGAGAGGAUGAUCAGCCACACUGGAACUGAGACACGGUCCAGACUCCUACGGGAGGCAGCAGUGGGGAAUAUUGCACAAUGGGCGAAAGCCUGAUGCAGCCAUGCCGCGUGUAUGAAGAAGGCCUUCGGGUUGUAAAGUACUUUCAGUUGUGAGGAAGGG
Molecule: ribosomal RNA, 319 nt
Filed under: Vibrio sp. ZF57
Lineage: Bacteria; Pseudomonadati; Pseudomonadota; Gammaproteobacteria; Vibrionales; Vibrionaceae
Description: bacterial SSU rRNA
Rfam family: Bacterial small subunit ribosomal RNA
Source: RNAcentral